This 433-nucleotide ribosomal RNA is filed under the name uncultured bacterium. RNAcentral describes it as "partial 16S ribosomal RNA". It matches the Rfam family "Bacterial small subunit ribosomal RNA", at positions 29 to 507 of the family's 1533-position model. The record is from RNAcentral.
AACGGACGCUGGCGGCAUGCCUAACACAUGCAAGUCGAACGAGACCUUCGGGUCUAGUGGCGCACGGGUGCGUAACGCGUGGGAACCUGCCCUUAGGUUCGGAAUAACUCCCCGAAAGGGGUGCUAAUACCGGAUAAUGUCUUCGGACCAAAGAUUUAUCGCCUUUGGAUGGGCCCGCGUUGGAUUAGCUAGUUGGUGGGGUAAAAGCCUACCAAGGCGACGAUCCAUAGCUGGUCUGAGAGGAUGAUCAGCCACACUGGGACUGAGACACGGCCCAGACUCCUACGGGAGGCAGCAGUGGGGGAUAUUGGACAAUGGGCGAAAGCCUGAUCCAGCAAUGCCGCGUGAGUGAUGAAGGCCUUAGGGUUGUAAAGCUCUUUUACCCGGGAUGAUAAUGACAGUACCGGGAGAAUAAGCUCCGGCUAACUCCGUG